GAGUCUGGGCAGCUGCUUCUGCACAGCCGCCGCUCAUGUCAAAACUCCUGAAGGACUUUGCAAGCUAAUUGCAACACCCCAUGGUCAGAUCCAGGCUUUGCGAGGUCUGAAGUAAUAAUUUAUAGCACACUUCAAUGGUAGCUGUUAGAACAAGGUUACUUCCAGGGUGAAAGGAAGCACCAAAGCCCACAAGGCAUGCUGGAGUGUCCAGUGCUGAACAAAGACAAUGACGUUUUAAAAUCUGUGAACCUUUGGCCACGGUGCAUCGCUGACAUUUGUAAGGGUAAGGUCACACAUCUCGACAAAAUUAAGCGCCCACAGCCUUCGUCACCCUGAUUCGCGGUUCCGCUGUAAAAGGGCUCUAUUCCCCCUCUAUAUCAGAGGUGGAAAUUUCCACGCCUAUUUCUCCGACCCCCUGGAGCAAAGCUUGACUGAGGAACCUGAAGAAGGCAGUGUUUAGGGUCUGGCCAGAUGGAUGCAGCGCAGGAAACAAAGCACGGCAGGAAGGUGGCAGAGUUGCUCCGAUUAACCAGAGGGCUACCGGCUUUCGCACUCUCUGAACACGGAAGAACAUUUACUGAAUGGGAAAAAAGGUUAACCUCGGUUUCUUGCAGGGCUGGAUGAAAAAUCAGCCCUUGCGUCGAGAAAAAAAUGACAGGGGGUAACGUAACAGCUUCUGCCCUAACUCCGUGGUGAGUCGGGCGGCUCGCAAAGCUCUCAGCAAGCCCAGGAGCAGGGCGAGACCCGGGGCGGCGGCUGUCACACACCGGGGUCCCCGCGGAGCGCCCGCACCGCCACCAGCACCGCCACCGCUGCCUCCCCACCGCCUCCGAGGCCAGGCGGGCUUACCCCACCGGGGCACCCGAAGGGUCGCUCUCUGGGGCGUUGCCGGGGGUAGGAGCCGCCGGCCAGGACUCUCAGGCCAGCACGCAGACCCCUCUUUCCCGGGGAGAAGGGGCCGGGGCCCGGCAGGCAGGGGCGGGGUGUCCCCCAGACGCAAGGCCGGCUCUCCCCGGCGCGGGGGCGGUGCGGCGCU
Molecule: non-coding RNA, 1036 nt
Organism: Taeniopygia guttata (zebra finch)
Lineage: Eukaryota; Metazoa; Chordata; Aves; Passeriformes; Estrildidae
Source: RefSeq, a predicted model, not a curated record